Molecule: ribosomal RNA, 468 nt
Filed under: uncultured bacterium
Lineage: Bacteria
Description: partial 16S ribosomal RNA
Rfam family: Bacterial small subunit ribosomal RNA
Source: RNAcentral
GACGAACGCUGGCGGCGUGCUUAACACAUGCAAGUCGAACGGAAAGGCCCUGCUUUUGUGGGGUGCUCGAUUGGCGAACGGGGGAGUAACACGUGAGUAACCUGCCCUUGACUUUGGGAUAACUUCAGGAAACUGGGGCUAAUACCGGAUAGGAGAUCUUGCUGCAUGGUGGGGGAUGGAAAGUUUCGGCGGUUGGGGAUGGACUCGAGGGUUAUCAGCUUGUUGGUGAGGUAGUGGCUUACCAAGCCUUUGACGGGUAGCCGGCAUGAGAGGGGGAACGGCCACAUUGGGACUGAGAGAGGGCCCAGAAUGCUAUGGGAGGCAGCAGUGGGGAAUAUUGCGCAAUGGGCGGGAGCCUGAUGCAGCAACGCCGCGUGCGGGAUGAUGGCUUUCGGGUUGUAAACCGCUUUCGCCGGUGACGAAGCGAGAGUGACGGUAAUGGGUAAAGAAGCAACGGCUAACUACGUG